RNAcentral lists this ribosomal RNA (1127 nucleotides) under uncultured bacterium. RNAcentral's name for it is "bacterial SSU rRNA". It matches the Rfam family "Bacterial small subunit ribosomal RNA", at positions 353 to 1482 of the family's 1533-position model. The record is from RNAcentral.
AGUGAGGAAUAUUGGGCAAUGCCCGAAAGGGUGACCCAGCAACGCCGCGUGGAGGAUGAAGGUCGUAAGAUUGUAAACUCCUGUUAGAGGGGAAGAAUAACUAAGUUUGGGCUUAGUAUGACUGUACCCUCAGAGUAAGCAUCGGCUAACUCCGUGCCAGCAGCCGCGGUAAUACGGAGGAUGCGAGCGUUAUCCGGAUUCAUUGGGUUUAAAGGGUGCGCAGGCGGGCUAAUAAGUCAGGGGUGAAAUUCCACGGCUCAACUGUGGGGCUGCCUUUGAUACUGUUAGUCUUGAGUUUAGUUGAGGUGGGCGGAAUGUAGCAUGUAGCGGUGAAAUGCAUAGAUAUGCUACAGAACACCGAUAGCGAAGGCAGCUCACCAAGUUAUAACUGACGCUCAUGCACGAAAGCGUGGGGAUCAAACAGGAUUAGAUACCCUGGUAGUCCACGCUGUAAACGAUGAUCACUCGUUGUUGGCGAUACACAGUCAGCGGCUAAGCGAAAGUGAUAAGUGAUCCACCUGGGGAGUACGAUCGCAAGGUUGAAACUCAAAGGAAUUGACGGGGGCCCGCACAAGCGGUGGAGCAUGUGGUUUAAUUCGAUGCAACGCGAAGAACCUUACCUAGGCUUGAAAGGCAAGUGACAGGGUAUGAAAGUACCCCUCCAGCAAUGGCACUUGUACAGGUGCUGCAUGGCUGUCGUCAGCUCGUGCCGUGAGGUGUUGGGUUAAGUCCCGCAACGAGCGCAACCCCUACUAUUAGUUGCCACCAGGUUAUGCUGAGCACUCUAAUAGGACUGCCUACGCAAGUAGUGAGGAAGGUGGGGAUGACGUCAAGUCCGCAUGGCCCUUACGCCUAGGGCUACACACGUGCUACAAUGGGUGUUACAAUGGGUUGCCAAACCGCAAGGUGGAGCCAAUCCUUUAAAAGCAUCCUCAGUUCGGAUUGGAGUCUGAAACUCGACUCUAUGAAGUUGGAAUUGCUAGUAAUCGCGGAUCAGCACGCCGCGGUGAAUACGUUCCCGGGCCUUGUACACACCGCCCGUCAAGCCAUGGAAGCCGGGGGUACCCAAAGCCAGUAUUCUAACCGCAAGGAGGAAACUGUUUAAGGUAAAACCGGUGACUGGGGCU